UACGUAGGGGGCAAGCGUUGUCCGGAAUCAUUGGGCGUAAAGAGCGUGUAGGCGGUCCGGUAAGUCGGCUGUGAAAGUCCAGGGCUCAACCCUGGGAUGCCGGUCGAUACUGCCGGACUAGAGUUCGGAAGAGGCGAGUGGAAUUCCCGGUGUAGCGGUGAAAUGCGCAGAUAUCGGGAGGAACACCUAUGGCGAAGGCAGCUCGCUGGGACGUUACUGACGCUGAGACGCGAAAGCGUGGGGAGCGAACGGG
Molecule: ribosomal RNA, 253 nt
Filed under: uncultured bacterium
Lineage: Bacteria
Description: partial 16S ribosomal RNA
Rfam family: Bacterial small subunit ribosomal RNA
Source: RNAcentral